Molecule: ribosomal RNA, 429 nt
Filed under: Lactobacillus sp.
Lineage: Bacteria; Bacillati; Bacillota; Bacilli; Lactobacillales; Lactobacillaceae
Description: bacterial SSU rRNA
Rfam family: Bacterial small subunit ribosomal RNA
Source: RNAcentral
UAGGGAAUCUUCCACAAUGGACGCAAGUCUGAUGGAGCAACGCCGCGUGAGUGAAGAAGGUUUUCGGAUCGUAAAGCUCUGUUGUUGGUGAAGGAGGAUAGAGGCAGUAACUGGCCUUUAUUUGACGGUAAUCAACCAGAAAGUCACGGCUAACUACGUGCCAGCAGCCGCGGUAAUACGUAGGUGGCAAGCGUUGUCCGGAUUUAUUGGGCGUAAAGCGAGCGCAGGCGGUUUCUUAAGUCUGAUGUGAAAGCCCCCGGCUCAACCGGGGAGGGUCAUUGGAAACUGUUUUUCUUGAGUGCAGAAGAGGAGAGUGGAACUCCAUGUGUAGCGGUGGAAUGCGUAGAUAUAUGGAAGAACACCAGUGGCGAAGGCGGCUCUCUGGUCUGCAACUGACGCUGAGGCUCGAAAGCAUGGGUAGCGAACAGG